This 254-nucleotide ribosomal RNA is filed under the name uncultured bacterium. RNAcentral's name for it is "partial 16S ribosomal RNA". It matches the Rfam family "Bacterial small subunit ribosomal RNA", at positions 524 to 776 of the family's 1533-position model. The record is from RNAcentral.
UACGUAGGGUGCGAGCGUUGUCCGGAAGUAUUGGGCUUAAAGAGCUCGUAGGCGGUCUGUCGCGUCGGUCGUGAAAACUUGGGGCUUAACCCUGAGCUUGCGGUCGAUACGGGCAUGACUGGAGUUCGGUAGGGGAGACUGGAAUUCCUGGUGUAGCGGUGAAAUGCGCAGAUAUCAGGAGGAACACCGGUGGCGAAGGCGGGUCUCUGGGCCGAUACUGACGCUGAGGAGCGAAAGCGUGGGGAGCAAACAGG